Molecule: long non-coding RNA, 5713 nt
Organism: Melopsittacus undulatus (budgerigar)
Lineage: Eukaryota; Metazoa; Chordata; Aves; Psittaciformes; Psittaculidae
Source: Ensembl
UCAUUGCCCACUGCCUGGCUCGAGCCAGUGCAGGAUUUGGGGAGAGGAGCGCAGGGGAGGCAGAUGGCCUAGGAGGACAUCAGGAUGGAGCGGACGGAGCUUCUCGCUCCUGCAGCCAGCAAAAGCUCCUCACACCGUAGCCCUGACCUCCCAGAGGGGUGAGUGCUGAUGCUCCCCCUGACAUGGCACAGAACUCUAGACCAUCACAUGCAAAAAACAAAAGAACCCCAACCAACCCCAACACCGUAAUUCAUGGCAUCAAGAUCCAAAGGGGGGAAUAAAAAGACAGGCCUGAUGCAGGGAAGAGGGUGCUUUGGCUCCCAGCCCUGGCUCCAGGCUGGCUCGUGCUCCGAGGAACCAGCAGCCACCAGGAAGCGCCCUGCUGCACCUCUGCCCACCCCGCUACCCAUGCUGGAGUGACACCCCUCAUAGGGUGCAAGGGAACAGGUCCCUUGGGAGCGGUGUGUCACUGCCUAUGCCUCCUGGUCUGGGGCAUCCAGGCAUGUGGAGCUGAGCGGCAAGAGGAUCCCAGGCUCAGCUCCUUAGGAAGCUUCAGCACGCCAGCUCUGAGAGUCAGCAUCCCCAAGCUGCUCUGCCAAGGGAAACGUUAUGCCCAUGGAUGCGAUCUCGUCAACUCCCUCAAAAGCAAGACAACAAGCAGAUUGACCUCCACCACACUGGGAGAGGAGCCUUGUCCCACAGGACUGCAGCCUUUCCACAUGGGAGGGAAAAGAGGUCCCAGGGACAGAACAGAACCUGCAAGAUCCACGGCCUCCCCUUCCUCCCUCCCUCCUCACCUCGUCUGUCUGUCCUGGGGGAGGAACAGUUUCUUGUGGAGGUCAGCAAGCUCCUCUUCCUGCAGCUCGUAAACAGGCUCUACUAAGAGGUACAUCAUCCACCUAUGCAACACUUCCAGAAGCUGCCAAGUUUUCAGGAGCCCAUUGCAAUGUGCAGCAUGGCCAUCCAGCACUGAGAAUAAGCACAGUGGCUGCUGGAAAGCUAAGUGGGUUUUAUUCCUCCCCCCCACACCAAGAAGACUGUUUUUUUGGGGCCUUUUUGUUCGUUUGUUUCAGUUUUGAUAACUUCAUUUGGGAAAACUAAGCUUGUGAGAAAUUGGUGCCCAUCCUGAACACUCCCUGGUCCUUCGAACUUCGGGAAUGGAUGGAUCCCCUACUGUGAUUAUAAUCUAGCAGAUUUUGUAGAGCAAAGUAACUUCACACACAGACACAUGAGGUUCUUUCACUCUCCAUCAGCACAAGCUGCUUCUGUGGUCUUAGCUACUACUCACAUUAGUGAAAGAAAAAGCCUAGCUAGAAUGUGGUGAGAUGACUUAGUAUUUUGUAUCAGUCCCAUGGUCCCAAUGACCAUUAGCAGUGCCGUCAGCAGCUGUGCCAUGAAUUCAGGCUUUGAAUGGCAGUCCAUGCACCAGUCAGGGUGAAAACAUUUGGAAAAGCCCAAGCCUGAGUCUGUGUUUGGCUCCAGAGGCAACAGCAGAGAGAGGAGCAGCUGAAAGCAGGCAUCACCUCCUGCUCAGCCACGCUAGAGGCUAUGGGGCUCUGUUUGUGUUGCACCUUCCCUCCCAUGCUGAGCCUGUCCCCAGGGGCUGAGCAGAGGGGAAGGAAAGUAAUUGUAUGUCUGACCAAGCAGCAUGCAAGCACCAUUCAGCAGGCUGGGGGAAAAGUGGUGACAGCUAGAGCCCAAAAUAACAGGAUUUCAUGUUGGAAAUGCCAGCGGCUUUUUCAAACUGUCGUGAGACCGAAAGGUCUUAACAGUGGUGAGAAAUGUUCCAGGUUGCUGUUCCUUGCUGGAAAAAACAGAUUUUGAUGAUGAGGUGGGUUUAAACGCUCCAGCCAACUCUGUUAGACAUGUGCAGUGCUUGUGGAGAAGAAUUGCUCAAGGAAGACUGGGAUGGUGGCCCUGUUGCUUUGCAGUGGCAUAGGGUGAUCAGAAACAAAGGCUGGAGUUUCAGGGCUUCCUCUGCCCCUGGAGUUGUGACCUGGCUGUCCACCCAAGCAUGUGUGUGUGGCAGGGUGGGCUUCUGCAUGCCAGUGUGCACACCUGGGACCCCCAGCCCUGCAGAGGGUUGGUGCUCUUGUGGCUGUGGUCUGGUGUCACCCAUCUGUCCUUGCAGCAAGGGCUUUGCAGGGUGACAGAGCAUUGCUUGUUCCUCAUGAGAGGAAACUCCUGACCUGGUUUUUGUGAGGACAUGGUGUGAAGUGUCACAUUCGCUGCAGUAAGUGGCAGGGAGCAGGGAUAAAAGCAUGGCGCAAGCUGUGUUUGAGAACAAGCUAAUCCCUUGCUGCCUGAAAUGAGAGAGCUGCUACAUCUGCUCCCUGGCCAACAUGUCCAGCUCUUCUCACCCUCCCAAACCUAAUGUGCAAACUUAUUCCUCUGAGGUAGCCAAAGCACCUUGUCCCCUGACUCUGAGGCUGUGCAUUCACAUCGUUUUGGUCCUCUCCAUGCUAGCACCAUGGGCAGCCAUGAAAUGCCAGUGGAUGUGUGAUGACCUCAGGCAUGCUGGUGGCCAGAGCCUACCAUAACCUGCUGGUUUGCCUGCAUACAGCCUCCCAGUGAUGCUCCUGCCCUGGUGUGCCUUGAGCUUGCUUGGUGGAGAGGCAGCACAGCCUGGCCUCACUUGCGCUUCACUUUAUGUUCUCCCAGAGAAUUCCACAGCACUUUUCUGAGCCUUUGUAGACAGGGUAAAUCCAACAGACCAAAGGUAGAAGACAGAAGGCCUUGACAUUUUGGUGGUCUCCGGGUUCCUGGUGCUGUCUCUUGGCAGAAGAGGCACAUGAGCUGUUGUGGCAGUGUGGGACCAGGGAGCAGGGUGUCUUCUGGGUGAGUUUACAGACAAAGGCUCUGUGCUUCUUUGCUGGGACCAAGGGCAGCUUUGCUGUGGGCUGAACAAGACACAGCUGAUGGAGGAGCUCACUGGGGAGGGCAGAAUAGUGUGUGAAUGCACAUGUGUAGAGGAGGGGAUGUUGAAGAGCAGCUGUAAAAGGCUUUGAGGAUGUGAUGGUUUUUACCAAGAUAUGAGGCAAGACAGGGCUGAGGGCUGCUGUGCUGGAGCAGUGCUGCUGAGAGGCACAGAGGGUGUGGGAAAUGGAGAGACCAGGGCAUUUGGUGGAGAAGGCCAGAAAUAAAGCAGGCUUUCUGAGCAGGCUGAGCAUGCUGCGGGUCAGGGAGACAGGCAGGAGGCAUUUCCAAGCUGGGGUGCCCAGACCAAGCCUUGCUGUAUUGUCAGAGCAGCGAUGCUGCCUCUGAGCCCAGCACUGACACGUGUCACCAAACAGCGAUGGCUAAUGCAGCCACAAGGUGUAAAUGUCACUAAUGAAUAAAUUGCCUUGUGCCUUGGAGAGGCCAAUCCAUCACAGCUGGGGACAGGGAUCUGACAGGCAUGGCUAUUUCAGGCAUAGCCUGUAGGGAGGAGGAACAAUUCAUUUCUGAGCCAUCCCCUCCACGUAGGGAAGCCAACGCAGGGCUUGGCUCUGACUGCUCAGCUUCAUCCCUCUUCACUGCAUUGGAAGGAAGAAGGAGGAGGAGGGUCUAGCUUAGCCAGAAGUGCCCUGUCUGUCUGCAGGGCAGUGUGUGAGCCCCAGCCGGGGUUAGCUGGAGAGGGAGUUUGAGGGAGGCUGCUGCACAUAGGGCACAUGCUGUAGGUGAUUAUGGGAUAAAGCGGUGUGUCCCCAGCCAUCAGGAGAGCUUGUGUCAGUUGUCUUUUCCUCCCGUGCUGUUGAGCCCCAGCCACCAGCACAGCUGGCUGUGCAGUGGGCCAGCAGGUAUAAGGCAGGCAGGGACAGAAGCUCAGCGUGGACAAAUGCAGCUCUGUGGAAACAAAGGGAGGCUGAACAGAGCAACCAUUUCUACGCACAGCCUCUGCCCAUCCCUAUGGCAGCCUGCUCCUCCACCCCCAGUUAGUGCUUGAAAUCAACCUGCCAUCCUCUUUACAGCAUAUGCCAACAUGACACCUUGCAAAUCGAUGCCUGGGUCGCUGUGAGCAGAAGCCGCCAGGCUUGGGAAGCCAGCCACUGGCUCCUGCUGCUCCAUGUGCUGUGCUCGGAGCAAAAGCAGGGCUUGCCAUCUGCUGUGGGAGGGAACCAGCCGGACACCCCUGCUCUGGCCCGGUGGGCACCCACUGGCAUAGUCCAAGUGCAAGCCCUUGUGUCAUUCCCCCUGCUUUACUUCCCAGCCACCCUCUGUCUCUCCCCAUGUCUGUGGCACAUGGAUGAGGGGAUGCUCCCAGCUUGGCUCGGUUCCUCUGCUGCCUAGUACUGCUCACACUGAAUCGGUGCAAGGGAGAGAAGACCAGCUCCCAGGCAAAGUGCCAGAGGUUACUUCCUCAGAAGCCCAUGGCUGACUCCUUCUGCAAAGCCCUGCACCACUCCUUGGGGAUGGAUCUCAUGGAAGAGCUAAAGGGUUCAUACUGGCCCUUCCCAGCACAGAGUGACAUACUGGAUACCACUGUGCAUGGUGGUCCCACAGCACGGUAACCAGACCUGGAGCUGACAAGUGACCCAGCAAUGACAGGAGUGUUCACACUCAAACAAGCUGCUGUUGCUGUCAGGGCUUUCAUUUUUUUACCAUGUUUGGCAUUUGAAGUUGUUUCAACCCUUGCAGACUGCCAAAUAGUAGGGCUGUUGGUGUGGGCAAGUGGUGCAGCCUGCUUGGUUUGGGCUUUUCUCUUUGGCUAGGAGAUUGAUGGGAGGGAAGGCAAAGGGUUGUCCAAGCAUUCCUACAUGCGGCAGCCCAAGAGUGUGCUCAGGUGGCAUUAACAGCCUUGGCCAUUUGCAGGAAGAGGAGAUGUGAGUAUCCUUGGAAAGCAAGUCAACAGUUGUUGUGGUGAUGAUACAUUUUCCCAAACCCUUUUCUUUCCAUCCCUGUUCCUCCCUGGCUCUGGCAGCCAGUUCCUCCUCCUGUGUCUGCUAGCACGGCUGAGGGAUCUCAUCGCUGCCCUCCCAGCACGAGCUUUCAUUGCACAGCUGGCUGACCAGAUGCAGCCCUGUACUUGGAGGUACAGGCGGGCUUGCCUAGGACCAGGCCACCUCCAUUGAGCCCCCACCCUUGCUGCUGGAGCUGUUCUUCAUCAGCCUGAUGCUGACCUGGGUCUUUUCUGCUGUUUCUGAACAUGAGUUCUCAUCUCAUUCAGGUGUGUCAUUCAGUGGAAAUACUUUGUAAGUGCAAAUAAAAGGAAAUAAAUCUAUUCAAUACCUCGGUCUCGAGGAUGGGAAGCGAGCUGUGGGAGACACCCAGCUGCUGCUGCAGGGUAAGGUUUCUUGUGGACUGAGCCCCUGGAGCAUCCAUGACCAGUGAGGGCUUGGGACUGAGCCCUGUCAGGAUGGUGGCCCUGCAUGGCCACGACUGUUGGGGACAGCCUCGCACCCCAUCCUUUCUGAUCUGUAAGGGCAUGACAUGACACAGGUAAAGGUCCUGUCGGCCAGGGGCCAGAGGCACCACAGGCGUCUGUAUCCAUCAGGCAGAGCAAGGCAGAAGCGGGUACGUGGCAAACAAAUUCUUUUGUGAAUACUGGGAAACAGUUUUUACUUUUCAACUCUGUCAAUAUGAUCUAGCUCUGUCUGUCUCUCUAUAUAUGUACGAACAGUAUAUCACAAUGUUGCCUUUUUUGUUGGAAAUAUCAAAGUACAAAGAUUGUAAACCAAAUCGGUGUAAUAAAAGUUUCGGAUGAUUCACUGAGGUGGCUGCCAGCAGUGGGUCU